UGAGCUGCAGUGCUGGUGCAAGCUACCAGGUGGACAGCUGUGCGGCUCUUUACAGAGCAUGGGCCUCAGCAGGGCAAGCUUCCUCCCCACCGCCCUGCCAAUGUGCCUCAACACUGACCUGGUGGGCACCAUCUUUAAAGGCCAGAGGGCAGUUCAGUCUCCAUGGCCCACUCUGUCCUGGACUGA
Molecule: small RNA, 186 nt
Filed under: Chrysemys picta bellii (western painted turtle)
Lineage: Eukaryota; Metazoa; Chordata; Testudines; Emydidae
Description: TUC338 (ENSCPBG00000010416.1)
Source: RNAcentral